RNAcentral lists this small RNA (538 nucleotides) under Pan troglodytes (chimpanzee). RNAcentral describes it as "retained intron". Lineage: Eukaryota; Metazoa; Chordata; Mammalia; Primates; Hominidae. The record is from RNAcentral.
GUGUCUGGCCUUCGCAAGAGACCCAGCAAGCAGAAAACGCUUACGGGUUCUUAGGAACUGUAAGCUUGACUUGAAGAUUCGGAGCUGGGAAAGUCUUUCCUGUUUAACACCUUCAGAGGGGGUGCACGCCAGGAUGGGUCUGGGUGGUGCUUGGGGACAGAGGCACCUUCCCGACACCCGCCUGCCCCUCCAGCUUCUACUCCUACAAGAGCUUUGAGACAGCCGUGGCCCCCAACGUGGCCCUCGCACCGCCGGCCCAGCAGAAGGUUGUGAGCAGCCCUCCGUGUGCCGCCGCCGUCUCCCGGGCCCCCGAGCCUCUCGCCACUUGCACCCAGCCUCGGAAGCGGAAGCUGACUGUGGACACCCCAGGAGCCCCAGAGACGCUGGCGCCCGUGGCUGCCCCGGAGGAGGACAAGGACUCGGAGGCGGAGGUGGAAGUUGAAAGCAGGGAGGAAUGUACGUUCACCUCCUCCUUGUCCUCGCUCUCUUCCCCGUCCUUUACCUCAUCCAGCUCCGCCAAGGACCUGGGCUCCCCGGG